CCAAUUUCAUAUUAAAAAAAUCUACUAUAACAGUAAUGGUAUACAUCUUUCAAUAAAGCAUUUCAAAAAACAAACAAAAUAUGUUAUACUAACAAAAUGAUCCUAUAGUAGUAAGAUGUUUGCCAACCAUUUCAACAAAUCAUUUCAAAAAAAAAAAACAAAAUAUGUUAUGCUAACAAAAUUAUCCUAUAGCAGUAAGAUGUUAACCAACUAUUUCAACAAAUCAUUUCAAAAAAAAC
RNAcentral lists this long non-coding RNA (239 nucleotides) under Gossypium raimondii (Peruvian cotton). Its description in RNAcentral is "long non-coding RNA (GRAI_LNC009926)". The record is from RNAcentral. Lineage: Eukaryota; Viridiplantae; Streptophyta; Magnoliopsida; Malvales; Malvaceae.